AGUUUUCUGAAUUCUGACUCAGAAAGGCUGAGUGGAAUUAGAAUUUAAAAUCAAAAGGUAGAGAGAUGGAGCAAUUACAGACUGUGAACAACUCUCCAAUGGAGGGUAAAGAGCGGGAGAAUACGCAGUGACAUUGUGAGCUUCAACUCAGCUCUCCAGGGCUGAGCACAGAAUGUCAGGGAGGGGACCUCUGAACAGGUCUAUACCACCUUUGCUCAAACUAAAGAUCAUUUUGAAGUCUAGCAAAUGAGACUAUAGGAGUGACCACAGGGAGUUCCCAAUUCCUUACAUGUUUCAGCUUCUAUAAGAUGUCAUAUACGGGGAUGAAGAGAUGGCUCAGCCACUAAGAGUACAAACUGCUCUUGCAGGGGACCUGGGACAGUUCCUGGAUCACAGUCUUUACCCUCUGCUACAUCGGUUCCAGAGGAACCAACACCCUGUCAGGUGUCUGAGGUUUUGCAAGGGCUGACCACUGCACUGGACCGCGAAUAAACCUCUCUCCAGCAAAUGGAAAUCAUCACAGAAAACCACAACUGGACCCAAGGCAGAGAUGCACAGCUAGUGGAGAGCCCAGCCCUGGCUCAGAACAGUGACCAACCAAGCCAAAUAUCUUCUUGAACUGGUAGAUGAUGAAUGAAGAAUGUAUGCUGAGAGCUUGAAGGAAGGAGAAAUGAAGAGAGAGGCUAGUUUUAGGCCAGCAUUUUCUGGAGCUGAGGAGGUCGAGUGCUGUUCGUCCUUUGGAUACCAAUUUAUCAUCAGCCGCAUGGCUUGAAUGUAUUUGUUCCCAUUAGAUAAACUGUCUCUUUACUGUG
RNAcentral lists this long non-coding RNA (812 nucleotides) under Mus pahari (shrew mouse). RNAcentral's name for it is "lncRNA (MGP_PahariEiJ_G0005282.1)". Lineage: Eukaryota; Metazoa; Chordata; Mammalia; Rodentia; Muridae. The record is from RNAcentral.